GCGUACUGAGUAAAUUAUGUGGGGUCCACCGUGAUUUACAUAUUUUACCCACUCCGUCCAUCCAUUUUAACAGAUAAUUUGAGGGCUUUAGCCCAAAAACUAAGUAUAUCCAAAUCUCAAGUGGACCUUACCACGGGAAACAGUGUGAAUUGAAAUUAUACCGUCUAAAAUCCCAUCAGGGCAAAGAAAUUCUGCAUCAAUCUGUUAUUUGUGUUUUUCCUUCAUCCAUGUCUUUGUGAUCUUAUGAACGGGUUGGAUGACAAAUAAACAUCACUGUAGGCCCUACCAAGGUUUGAACUGUGGAAAUCAUUAUUACCAUUGUUUCAUGUGGUGUGGUCCGCCACAUCGUCAUUCUAUGUGGGGAUGAAAUGUGGCCAGAAAUGUGUAUUUUUUUU
Magnolia sinica is the source of this 395-nucleotide long non-coding RNA. RefSeq lists it as uncharacterized. NCBI's taxonomy places the organism in Eukaryota, Viridiplantae, Streptophyta, Magnoliopsida, Magnoliales, Magnoliaceae. The transcript has 2 exons. The record is from RefSeq and is a predicted model, not a curated record.